GCCGGGGUAGCUCAGCUGGGAGAGCAACAGACUGAAGCGCAUGCAUUCUGGAGGUCCCGUGUUCAAUCCACGGUCCUGGCA
Lactarius indigo is the source of this 81-nucleotide non-coding RNA. Lineage: Eukaryota; Fungi; Basidiomycota; Agaricomycetes; Russulales; Russulaceae. The record is from the annotation of a GenBank genome assembly.